UCUUUCAAGCUUUUUCCGAGAAACUCUGAGAUGCCCCAGGGUGGCAGUCAGAUGACCUUGGGACAGCGCUCUGCCGGAACUUAAUCGAAACGCUGGUAUUCCCGAGCACGAUCGUGAACGCUAACAGGACAGUGAAAGAAGAAUGUCUAACUCACACUCCCGGCCCAGUAUAAACUCCAUGCCCUGGCCUGUUCUGAGAGACAGGAAGUGCUCCUAUCAUCUCCAUGGGAAAGAGUGGAGCCGGAGACCCCUCCUCAAACAGAAGGCGGGUUUAGAUCAACACACAAAACAGUGUACAGGCCAUCUGCAGGCUGUUGGAGCGAGCGGAGCAUCAACCAUGGGGGUCCAGCACCACUUCACCCAGACCAACCACUCUCCUUCAUAUAGGCCGGGGCCUCGUCU
Oncorhynchus kisutch (coho salmon) is the source of this 402-nucleotide long non-coding RNA. RefSeq lists it as uncharacterized. The record is from RefSeq and is a predicted model, not a curated record. The transcript is spliced from 3 exons. NCBI's taxonomy places the organism in Eukaryota, Metazoa, Chordata, Actinopteri, Salmoniformes, Salmonidae.